Long non-coding RNA from Bombus pascuorum, 628 nucleotides. RefSeq lists it as uncharacterized. The transcript has 3 exons. NCBI's taxonomy places the organism in Eukaryota, Metazoa, Arthropoda, Insecta, Hymenoptera, Apidae. The record is from RefSeq and is a predicted model, not a curated record.
GUGUCAUAUGUUCUAUAAUAUCGAUCAUUCGGAGGUUUUAUUACGCCCUCUAGAAUAUAGGAAUAAUGAUUAGGGACAAAAAUCAAACGAUCUCGUCGAAUAUAGUAAUUAUUCCGUUUAAACAAGAUUAAAGAAACUUCCAAUCAUCGAAUUCAUUUAUUUGAAAGUGAACUGCUAUUAUAUGAACGAGAAAUCGUUCAAAUAAACGGAAUUCUAUAAAGUAUCGCAUAUUCAAUCCAAACAUGGAAGUUGAUGCAGUUAGAAAUAAAUACAAGAUACUGCGGUCAUCGAUGCAGAACAGAAUAGACGUGAUAAUGAAAUAUUUCUGCAUGUCCAGCGAUUUAAAGGAUCUCCCGGGAAUAUGAGGAGAGAACCCUGCCGGGGUGCGAGUGAACGGGUGCGAGGUAUAAUAUCGGCAUUAAUUAUAUUACCCUUCGUGUAAUAGGCAAGCCGCUUUAGUGCCUAAUUAUUUCGUGAUUGGGUCGUCCCUUUCUAGAAGCUAACGCCUACCCGGAAUAAAUUGCAGGCUGUAAUAUUUCCACGGUAUUCGUUCUAAUGUGCACGUCGACGCUUUUGAUAUAUAGCAGCUCGUGCAAGUAUUCGAAUAUCUCUGGAAGAUUGUUAUGUA